Molecule: ribosomal RNA, 427 nt
Filed under: uncultured bacterium
Lineage: Bacteria
Description: partial 16S ribosomal RNA
Rfam family: Bacterial small subunit ribosomal RNA
Source: RNAcentral
UGGGGAAUAUUGCACAAUGGGCGCAAGCCUGAUGCAGCCAUGCCGCGUGUAUGAAGAAGGCCUUCGGGUUGUAAAGUACUUUCAGCGGGGAGGAAGGUGUUGUGGUUAAUAACCACAGCAAUUGACGUUACCCGCAGAAGAAGCACCGGCUAACUCCGUGCCAGCAGCCGCGGUAAUACGGAGGGUGCAAGCGUUAAUCGGAAUUACUGGGCGUAAAGCGCACGCAGGCGGUCUGUCAAGUCGGAUGUGAAAUCCCCGGGCUCAACCUGGGAACUGCAUCCGAAACUGGCAGGCUUGAGUCUUGUAGAGGGGAGUAGAAUUCCAGGUGUAGCGGUGAAAUGCGUAGAGAUCUGGAGGAAUACCGGUGGCGAAGGCGGCCCCCUGGACAAAGACUGACGCUCAGGUGCGAAAGCGUGGGGAGCAAACA